This 256-nucleotide ribosomal RNA is filed under the name uncultured bacterium. RNAcentral's name for it is "partial 16S ribosomal RNA". It matches the Rfam family "Bacterial small subunit ribosomal RNA", at positions 103 to 354 of the family's 1533-position model. The record is from RNAcentral.
CGGGUGAGUAACGCGUGGGUAACCUACCUUUCAGCGGGGGAUAACUAUUGGAAACGAUAGCUAAUACCGCAUAACAAUGUUGGAUGCAUAUUCGACAUUUGAAAGUACCAAUUGGUACACUGAGAGAUGGACCCACGUUGUAUUAGCUAGUUGGUAGUGUAAUGGACUACCAAGGCGAUGAUACAUAGCCGACCUGAGAGGGUGAUCGGCCACAUUGGGACUGAGACACGGCCCAAACUCCUACGGAAGGCAGCAG